This 274-nucleotide ribosomal RNA is filed under the name uncultured bacterium. Its description in RNAcentral is "partial 16S ribosomal RNA". It matches the Rfam family "Bacterial small subunit ribosomal RNA", at positions 523 to 796 of the family's 1533-position model. The record is from RNAcentral.
AUACGGAGGGUGCGAGCGUUAAUCGGAAUUACUGGGCGUAAAGCGUACGUAGGCGGUUGGUUAAGUUAGAUGUGAAAGCCCCGGGCUUAACCUGGGAACUGCAUUUAAAACUGGCGAACUAGAGUUGAGUAGAGGGGAGUGGAAUUUCAGGUGUAGCGGUGAAAUGCGUAGAGAUCUGAAGGAACACCAGUGGCGAAGGCGACUACCUGGACUCGAACUGACGCUGAGGUACGAAAGCGUGGGUAGCAAACGGGAUUAGAAACCCCAGUAGUCC